UGAUUACCUCAAGCAGCAAGGAAGAUAAGGUGAGGCUAACCUUGCGCGAUUUCAGGUCCAAGCAGAAGAAGAAGGUAUCGACAACCCUUGGCAAAUCCUCCUCGGCGACCUCUAAGAAGAAGAAGGAGGAGGUGACCUCUCAAGGAGAAAUUAGGAAAAUCUGGAAGUUGCAGAGCAAGAUAGAUGCAAAAGAAGUGAAAAUCAGUGGACUUGUUGAUACCCUGGAAAAAGAAAAAGCAGCAAAGUUGUCACUUGAAUGUCAACUUGCAGCAGCACAGAAGAAGGCAUCCGAGAAGUGGCGGAUUCCAGUCUACUGACUUGUCACCAAAAUUGUAGCAGCACGAAGGAGCACCAACUGAUCCAUCACAGAAGAAGGCUUUGGUUUUGGUUUUGGUUUGCAUGAGAAGGGAUCUUCUGUGCGUUCAUGUCCCUGCUAGUCAAGUACUAUGUGUCCUGUAGGUGCUCAUCUCAAGUAGAAUUGUGUCCCUGCUAGUCAACUAGUAUUAUGUGAGCUGGUGUUGUAUGUGACCUAUCACCAAAAUGUACUAUGAUAUUAUGUACUGUGAUAUAAAUGUGCUUUGAUAUUGUGUUAA
Long non-coding RNA from Panicum virgatum (switchgrass), 593 nucleotides. RefSeq lists it as uncharacterized. Lineage: Eukaryota; Viridiplantae; Streptophyta; Magnoliopsida; Poales; Poaceae. The record is from RefSeq and is a predicted model, not a curated record. The transcript is spliced from 2 exons.